This 253-nucleotide ribosomal RNA is filed under the name uncultured bacterium. RNAcentral's name for it is "partial 16S ribosomal RNA". It matches the Rfam family "Bacterial small subunit ribosomal RNA", at positions 524 to 776 of the family's 1533-position model. The record is from RNAcentral.
UACGAAGGGGGCUAGCGUUGCUCGGAAUCACUGGGCGUAAAGGGCGCGUAGGCGGGCACGCAAGUCAGGGGUGAAAUCCUCCGGCUCAACCGGAGAACGGCUUUUGAUACUGCGUGCCUCGAGGGGGGUAGGGGCAUGUGGAACUUCCGGUGGAGCGGUGAAAUGCGUAGAUAUGACAUAGAACACCAAUUGCGAAGGCAGCUGGCUACACAAAUAUUGACACUGAGGCACGAAAGCGUGGGGAUCAAACAGG